GCGAGAAAACUUUGCAAUGUGCGAAAGCACGACAAGGUUAAUCCGAGUGGUUUCUGCUAAAGAAACCUUUUGCUAGUCCUAGAAACACUAGUGAAUAAGGGGUGGGCAAGUUCUGGUGUCAGCCGCCGCGGUAAAACCAGCACCUCAAGUGGUCAGGAUGAUUAUUGGGCCUAAAGCAUCCGUAGCUCGUUUUGUAAGUUUUCGGUUAAAUCCAUACGCUUAACGUAUGGGCUGCCGGAAAUACUGCAUAACUAGGAAGUGGGAGAGGUAGACGGUACUCGGUAGGAAGGGGUAAAAUCCUUUGAUCUAUUGAUGACCACCUGUGGCGAAGGCGGUCUACCAGAACACGUUCGACGGUGAGGGAUGAAAGCUGGGGGAGCAAACCGGAUUAGAUACCCAUGUAGUCCCUGAGCGGGCUGGCAAGGCGCAU
This 430-nucleotide ribosomal RNA is filed under the name uncultured bacterium. RNAcentral describes it as "bacterial SSU rRNA". It matches the Rfam family "Archaeal small subunit ribosomal RNA", at positions 339 to 776 of the family's 1478-position model. The record is from RNAcentral.